RNAcentral lists this ribosomal RNA (267 nucleotides) under uncultured bacterium. RNAcentral's name for it is "partial 16S ribosomal RNA". It matches the Rfam family "Bacterial small subunit ribosomal RNA", at positions 89 to 354 of the family's 1533-position model. The record is from RNAcentral.
UGGCGACCGGCGUACGGGUGAGUAACGCGUAUCCAACCUGCCCUUUACUAUGGGACAGCCCGUCGAAAGGCGGAUUAAUACCGUAUGUUGUCAUGUUGAUGCAUAUUUUCAUGACCAAAGGCUUCGGCCGGUAAAGGAUGGGGAUGCGUCUGAUUAGCUUGCCGGCGGGGUAACGGCCCACCGGGGCGACGAUCAGUAGGGGUUCUGAGAGGAAGGUCCCCCACACUGGGACUGAGACACGGCCCAGACUCCUACGGAAGGCAGCAG